RNAcentral lists this ribosomal RNA (450 nucleotides) under uncultured bacterium. RNAcentral describes it as "partial 16S ribosomal RNA". It matches the Rfam family "Bacterial small subunit ribosomal RNA", at positions 354 to 796 of the family's 1533-position model. The record is from RNAcentral.
GUGGGGAAUCUUCCGCAAUGGACGAAAGUCUGACGGAGCAACGCCGCGUGAGUGAAGAAGGUUUUCGGAUCGUAAAGCUCUUUCGUUAGGGACGAACGUGCUCUUUGUGAAUAAUGAGGAGUAAUGACGGUACCUAAAUAAGAAGCCACGGCUAACUACGUGCCAGCAGCCGCGGUAAUACGUAGGUGGCAAGCGUUGUCCGGAAUUAUUGGGCGUAAAGCGCGCGCAGGCGGGAUAUCAAGUCUGUCUUAAAAGUGCGAGGCUCAACCUCGUGAGGGGACAGAAACUGGUAUUCUUGAGUGUCGGAGAGGAAAGUGGAAUUCCAAGUGUAGCGGUGAAAUGCGUAGAGAUUUGGAAGAACACCAGUGGCGAAGGCGACUUUCUGGACGAUGUCUGACGCUGAGGCGCGAAAGCUAAGGGAGCGAACGGGAUUAGAUACCCCUGUAGUCC